UAGAGUUUGAUCCUGGCUCAGGACGAACGCUGGCGGCGCGCUUAACACAUGCAAGUCGAACGGUGAACCGGGCUUCGGCCCGGGGAUCAGUGGCGAACGGGUGCGUAACACGUGGGCAACCUGCCCCUCACUCUGGGAUAACCCCGGGAAACCGGAGCUAAUACCGGAUACUCCGAACGGUCCGCAUGGUCCGAUCGGGAAAGGUCCGCCGGUGAGGGAUGGGCCCGCGGCCUAUCAGCUUGUUGGUGAGGUAACGGCUCACCAAGGCGACGACGGGUAGCUGGUCUGAGAGGACGACCAGCCACACUGGGACUGAGAUACGGCCCAGACUCCUACGGGAGGCAGCAGUGGGGAAUCUUGCGCAAUGGGCGAAAGCCUGACGCAGCGACGCCGCGUGGGGGAUGAAGGCCCUCGGGUUGUAAACCCCUUUCGGCAGGGACGAAGCGGUUCCGUGACGGUACCUGCAGAAGAAGCCUCGGCUAACUACGUGCCAGCAGCCGC
RNAcentral lists this ribosomal RNA (501 nucleotides) under uncultured soil bacterium. Its description in RNAcentral is "bacterial SSU rRNA". It matches the Rfam family "Bacterial small subunit ribosomal RNA", at positions 1 to 518 of the family's 1533-position model. The record is from RNAcentral.